AGGAUAAUAGUUAAAAAUAACAUUUGAAUUGCAAUCAAAAAGUACUGAAAAUCAGUUUAUCUUA
This 64-nucleotide transfer RNA is filed under the name Coeliccia cyanomelas. RNAcentral describes it as "tRNA-Ala". It matches the Rfam family "tRNA". Rfam says of the family: Transfer RNA (tRNA) molecules are approximately 80 nucleotides in length. Lineage: Eukaryota; Metazoa; Arthropoda; Insecta; Odonata; Platycnemididae. The record is from RNAcentral.